GCGUUGUUAGCUCAGCUGGAUAGAGCACCAGGCUACGGACUUGGGUGUCGGGGGUUCAAAUCCUCUACAACGCG
RNAcentral lists this transfer RNA (74 nucleotides) under Clostridiales bacterium. Its description in RNAcentral is "tRNA-Arg". It matches the Rfam family "tRNA". Rfam says of the family: Transfer RNA (tRNA) molecules are approximately 80 nucleotides in length. Their secondary structure includes four short double-helical elements and three loops (D, anti-codon, and T loops). Further hydrogen bonds mediate the characteristic L-shaped molecular structure. tRNAs have two regions of fundamental functional importance: the anti-codon, which is responsible for specific mRNA codon recognition, and the 3' end, to which the tRNAs corresponding amino acid is attached (by aminoacyl-tRNA synthetases). tRNAs cope with the degeneracy of the genetic code in two manners: having more than one tRNA (with a specific anti-codon) for a particular amino acid; and 'wobble' base-pairing, i.e. permitting non-standard base-pairing at the 3rd anti-codon position. The record is from RNAcentral. Lineage: Bacteria; Bacillati; Bacillota; Clostridia; Eubacteriales.